GACGCCGCGUGGGGGAGGAAGGCCCUAGGGUUGUAAACCCCUGUCAGGUGGGACGAAUCAAGGGAUCGGCAAACAGUCGGUUCCCCUGACGGUACCGCCAGAGGAAGCUCCGGCUAACUCCGUGCCAGCACCCGCGGUGACUGAGCGGGCUGGCAAGGCGCAUA
Molecule: ribosomal RNA, 164 nt
Filed under: uncultured bacterium
Lineage: Bacteria
Description: partial 16S ribosomal RNA
Rfam family: Bacterial small subunit ribosomal RNA
Source: RNAcentral